RNAcentral lists this small nuclear RNA (192 nucleotides) under Castor canadensis (American beaver). RNAcentral describes it as "U2 spliceosomal RNA (ENSCCNG00000008417.1)". It matches the Rfam family "U2 spliceosomal RNA". Rfam says of the family: U2 is a small nuclear RNA (snRNA) component of the spliceosome (involved in pre-mRNA splicing). Complementary binding between U2 snRNA (in an area lying towards the 5' end but 3' to hairpin I) and the branchpoint sequence (BPS) of the intron results the bulging out of an unpaired adenosine, on the BPS, which initiates a nucleophilic attack at the intronic 5' splice site, thus starting the first of two transesterification reactions that mediate splicing. Lineage: Eukaryota; Metazoa; Chordata; Mammalia; Rodentia; Castoridae. The record is from Rfam by way of RNAcentral.
AUCGCUUCUUGGACUUUUGGCUAAGAUCAAGUGUAGUAUCUGUUCUUAUCAGUUUAAUAUCUGAUACAUCUUCUAUCAGAAGACAAUAUAUUAAACGGCUUUUUGAGACUAGGAGAUAGAAUAGGAGCUUGCUCCAUCCACUCCAUGCAUCAACCUGGUAUUGCAGUUACCUCCAGGAAUGGUAAACCAAAA